UAUCAAUAAGCGGAGGAAAAGAAACCAACAGGGAUUACCUCAGUAACGGCGAGUGAAGCGGUAACAGCUCAAAUUUGAAAUCUGGCCCCCUCGGGGCCCGAGUUGUAAUUUGUAGAGGAUGCUUCGGGUGUGGCUCCGGUCUAAGUUCCUUGGAACAGGACGUCAUAGAGGGUGAGAAUCCCGUAUGUGACUGGCAGCCUACGCCCGUGUGAAGCUCCUUCGACGAGUCGAGUUGUUUGGGAAUGCAGCUCAAAAUGGGUGGUAAAUUUCAUCUAAAGCUAAAUAUUGGCCAGAGACCGAUAGCGCACAAGUAGAGUGAUCGAAAGAUGAAAAGCACUUUGGAAAGAGAGUUAAACAGUACGUGAAAUUGUUGAAAGGGAAGCGCUUGCAACCAGACUUGCACUUGGUCGAUCACCCGCCGUUCUCGGCGGUGCACUCGAUCUCGUUCAGGCCAGCAUCGGUUUUGGUGGUUAGAUAAAGGCCCCAGGAAUGUAGCUUCCCCCGGGGAGUGUUAUAGCCUGGGGUGCAAUGUAGCCUACCGGGACCGAGGACCGCGCUUCGGCUAGGAUGCUGGCGUAAUGGUUGUAAGCGACCCGUCUUGAAACACGGACCAAGGAGUCUAACAUCUAUGCGAGUGUUUGGGUGUCAAACCCAUACGCGUAAUGAAAGUGAACGUAGGUGUGAACCCUUAAGGGUGCAACAUCGACCGAUCUUGAUGUCUUCGGAUGGAUUUGAGUAAGAGCAUAGCUGUUGGGACCCGAAAGAUGGUGAACUAUGCCUGAAUAGGGUGAAGCCAGAGGAAACUCUGGUGGAGGCUCGCAGCGGUUCUGACGUGCAAAUCGAUCGUCAAAUUUGGGUAUAGGGGCGAAAGACUAAUCGAACCAUCUAGUAGCUGGUUCC
This 900-nucleotide ribosomal RNA is filed under the name Gelatinipulvinella astraeicola. RNAcentral describes it as "partial 28S ribosomal RNA". It matches the Rfam family "Eukaryotic large subunit ribosomal RNA", at positions 41 to 958 of the family's 3401-position model. Lineage: Eukaryota; Fungi; Ascomycota; Leotiomycetes; Phacidiales; Helicogoniaceae. The record is from RNAcentral.